This is a non-coding RNA of Odocoileus virginianus texanus, 362 nucleotides long. Lineage: Eukaryota; Metazoa; Chordata; Mammalia; Artiodactyla; Cervidae. The record is from RefSeq and is a predicted model, not a curated record.
GGUGGAGCUUGGAGUCGGAUUCAGACACCCUCCCUGCCACCCCAGGCACCCAGGACGUACUAGAUGGAGCCACAGUGACUCCUGGGACGCACCUGCCAGCUGCAGAUUCCAGCUGUGCUAUUUGCCUUCCGGGGACAUCCCGCACUCAACCCACCCUCGGUGACCACCAAGUUCCCCCAGGCAAGAAGUUACCCAUCUCAGAAGAAGCCUAGAAAUUGAGAGCUUUGAGUCCUCCGAUAUUAACAAGUCAGAGAAUCUGUGAAGAGAUUGAGAAGAAUUAGAAGCAGUCAAGAGAUUCCUGGACCCCACACUUGGAGAUUCAAACUUAGAGAAUCAAAUGAGAGUUCUGGAAAUUGGCUGAG